This 348-nucleotide unclassified non-coding RNA is filed under the name Pseudalcantarea macropetala. Its description in RNAcentral is "partial 26S-18S rRNA external transcribed spacer". Lineage: Eukaryota; Viridiplantae; Streptophyta; Magnoliopsida; Poales; Bromeliaceae. The record is from RNAcentral.
UCCCUUAGCUCGGUCGCGCCUUCGGGCCUUCGAGCGGCGUGCGCUGCCUGUACCAUCUACCCGGUCCCACGGGAAGCCGACCCGACCCACACGCCAGUCCGCCCCCCCCGGCCUCGUCGGGCGAGGGGCGGUCGCGGCGCGGGCGUCGCGCGCCCCCGUCCCGGUCGGGCUCCCGACGUCCCGCGAGCGCUCUCGGAUGCGGCGGAUGCCGCGGGCUUCGGGGACUUCGGUCCCCGACCCGGACCUUCGGUCGGUCGUCGAGCCGCCCUCGUCGAGACGACGGCCGGCCCGCCGUCGGGCCCCUUCCGCCCCCCGCGGGCGGGCGGGCGCCCCGGCGGCGGCGCCGGC